This is a long non-coding RNA of Hordeum vulgare subsp. vulgare (domesticated barley), 698 nucleotides long. RefSeq lists it as uncharacterized. The record is from RefSeq and is a predicted model, not a curated record. Lineage: Eukaryota; Viridiplantae; Streptophyta; Magnoliopsida; Poales; Poaceae. The transcript is spliced from 2 exons.
UGCAUCCAUCCAUCUCCGCCCUGCCGCUCACGGCCGUGCAUCCAUCGGUGGCCACCAAAACAGGUUGCCCCGCUCGGUCGGUGACUUGAUCAGCCGUGACCCCGCCCCUAGGACAAGACAAUGGGUGCUCCAUGCCCACACUUCUCUCCUACUUGUACGUGAAUGAAUGAUUUUCAGGUAACUAUAACUGGUGCUACAUUUUGUGAUGGCAAGACAUAGGCCAAUUAAAGAGGCCCUGGCCUGAAUCCACAUGCCCUUGCUCAGAAACAAUCACCGCCCCCCCUGCACUGCACUGCGCCCGACGUCAGGCGUCCUACCGCGCUGUCGCAGAGGUGGCUCCAACACGUAGGAGGACAUGUGGCCUUUCCUUGUCCUACCGUCGCGUUCGCUACGAAUCCAUUUGCAAGAAUCUAAUCUACGCUCAGAUUGUCUUGGCGCCGGUCCACCUUCUCUUCUUUAUACAACCGCAUUCCGCAGGUGCCUGAAUGAUUUAUACGCACGCAAGCGUGUCCUGCUGACAAGUCACAACUCACAACAGCAGCAUUGAUAAUCUGAUUGAUACAGGUUCCUGUACAUUAGUAGUACUCCAUUCGUUCUUAAAUAUAAGAAAGAUUACAUACGGAUAUGUAUAGUCAUAUUUUGUUUCAUACGUAUGUAGUUUUUUUAGUGAAAUCUCUAUAAAAAUUUAUAUUUAGAAA